GACGGCUGCAGUAGCGUGGAAAGGGGGGUGACGUCCCGCGGACUUGAGGCGGGCAGAUCUGGGGGGCCCCGACUCCCCAGCGGCCCUGUAGUGGUGCGGGCGAAACUCUGGCCCCAGAUAGGACCGGGAACUAGAUCAAACCUACCUGGAUUCUUGUGAACCAUUCAUGUGAAUUAUUUGGAACUGGAAUUUCACACAGACCCGGGGAAUUUCUCAAAGUUCAAGACGGGUCAUAUUCCGUGGAAUACGGAAGGAGUUGGAGUGAUUUCACUUUUCUGAUCAAGAACUGAUAGCCAUUAAAACUCAGCUCCGCAAUAUAUCCCCCCACUCCAAGGGAGGGCUGAGAUGAUCACUUCGUUUUCUGUUACGGCUACUUUUAUAUUUUUCAACAUUACUGCUGGUCUGUAAGAGAACUAAAACAUCUGAUUUUCCUCAUUUCCUUGUAAAGAGGUGUUCAAAUAUGUACUUGAAUUUAAUUAUUUCUUCUGGUCAGCUGCAAAACCUGCUUUUCUUCCUUAACCCCUAGCAUUUUUAUCCUCUUAGCUACAGACAGGUUUCCAUGGCGUUGGUUAAAAAUUAAGGCCUAUUGAGACCAUAGUAUUUGCUUUCCAGUGAGUAAGAAGCAAGAACUUUAGGAUUAAAUUCAGCAAAAAGAAAAAAAAAAAGAGUAAAAUUUUGCAAGCAGAGUUUGUGAUUUCACCAGCAACACACUAACGUUUUUGGCUACUGAAAACCACUAUCCCCAGCCCCAUGACUCAGCAGCUAAAUCAACAGCCAACAUCUCCUACUGGUAAGGACUCUAAGAAAUCAGGCACUUGGUACUCUCAGAGCAAUUCUAAGGCGUGGCCCUGAAAGGGCUCCAAACAAUCUUAUUUUACAUAAAAAUGGUUAGAGAGAUAAAGAUACUCUGCUGUGGCCAGAACCAGUAAAUCUAGCAGGAAAUCAGAGGCCGAACAUGAUCCCGGACUGCUGCCGUUGCAAGAUUCUUGGAGGCUGCAGCGCCACAUUCUGAGCCAGCACUUCGACCUCACAUUGUAGCUAAAAUGUUAAUGAUUACUAGAGAUGUCCUGAAAUCUUUUUCAAAAUUCACAGGCUGCCAAAUGCCCUCCCUGUUUCCAUAGCUCCUUAGGCUUUGUUAGCAGGCUGUGGGGUUCACAUUUGCUUGUAGUCAGCACAACGGCAUUGCAUUUAGUUAUUAUUUCUCACUUGCUGUAAGCUUGUUGAGAAGUUUUAUUGGUGGUGGGCAGGUGGGGAAUAACUGUCCAAAGCUAUCAGAAUACCACACCUUGAAGCACUGUAGGUAACACAUGCAUGGUGUCUGCAGGUGGCCGGGAUCAAGGGAGAGUGAAUCUGCUACGACCUGUAACUCGCUUGGAUUACUGAUUCUCCCUGUGAUACGUGUGUAAAAAUCACUGGUCAGCUUGAGAAAGGGAUCUUUGUGAAAGAGGGUCUCCAGCCAGAUAGGGAACUUCAGGGUUGGAUAAGGAGCUCUGGGGAGGUAAGAUACCAGAUGAGUGCAGAAGGGGAUGUAGCUGGAUGGUCCCUCCUCAUAACAGAUCAUGAGGUUUUGGUAUUCAUCACUCAGUAUUUCACGUACACCAGAGACUACAUAAAGCGUAUAUAAAUCUCUGUG
RNAcentral lists this long non-coding RNA (1633 nucleotides) under Homo sapiens (human). RNAcentral's name for it is "HSALNT0001381". The record is from RNAcentral. Lineage: Eukaryota; Metazoa; Chordata; Mammalia; Primates; Hominidae.